This 253-nucleotide ribosomal RNA is filed under the name uncultured bacterium. Its description in RNAcentral is "partial 16S ribosomal RNA". It matches the Rfam family "Bacterial small subunit ribosomal RNA", at positions 524 to 776 of the family's 1533-position model. The record is from RNAcentral.
UACGGGGGGGGCAAGCGUUGUUCGGAAUUACUGGGCGUAAAGGGCUCGUAGGUGGCCAACUAAGUCAGACGUGAAAUCCCUCAGCUUAACUGGGGAACUGCGUCUGAUACUGGAUGGCUUGAGUUUGGGAGAGGGAUGCGGAAUUCCAGGUGUAGCGGUGGAAUGCGUAGAGAUCCGGAAGAACACCGGUGGCGAAGGCGGCCUGCUGGGCAGUUGCUGACACUGAGGCGCGACAGCGUGGGGAGCAAACAGG